Long non-coding RNA from Oreochromis aureus, 857 nucleotides. RefSeq lists it as uncharacterized. The transcript is spliced from 3 exons. NCBI's taxonomy places the organism in Eukaryota, Metazoa, Chordata, Actinopteri, Cichliformes, Cichlidae. The record is from RefSeq and is a predicted model, not a curated record.
CAAGGAAUCAGGACAGCAAACUCCCAUGACGCCCAUGUGGGUGGCAAAUCACGCAGCCACACCUUGUGUCAGGGGUCGUGUGCGGAGGCGAGGGAGAGAUGACCCACACGCAGGACUCUUGGUGCAGAAUGAGGAGGUUUAUUGGAAACGGAGACCAAAGAUGACAGGAUGGCUGGCUGAACUUAAUGGACUGGUAGACUAGCUGGCUUACUGAACUGAACACGCGACAGGAACAACAUUACAGGAACAUCAAUGACACGACACUGGACUGGUUGAACUGAGGAACAUAAAUACACAGGCUGAGUGAGGAGUGAUUAGAAACUGGUGAGUACACAGCUGAACAUAAUAAACUAAUGAUAAAUGGGAGGAGGACUGAACAUAAUGCACAUGGACCAAGGUUAACACAAUAAAACAGGAAGUGAAACAGACAGAAUAUAAACAGUGAACAUGAACUAAGAAUACCGGGUCAACGACCCAGAAACCCUGACACCUUGCCCCAUCCUGUCCAGCGACUUUCUUUUUCCAUCUCGUGAAUCUAAGAGAGAAGACAAAAUCAUGGCUCCUCUGAGGAUGUUGUGAUUGGGGAAUAAAAGCAGCAUUGUGCUGAUAAGCAGAUAUGCCGAGCCUGUUAACAGCACAAAGUGUUGGACCAGAAAGAGUGGAGGCAGAUGAAGAAAGUAGUCACUGGAAGUGGGCAACGAUGCAGCGAAUCUGCCAAGCAGUUUAGAUCGUGACCGAAGAUGGCGAUGUGUCGGUGCAGCCAAAAAUCUCCUUCACAGUCGGAGUGCUGUGUGCGCAGAUGCCUCAGGGGUCUCAAUAAAUGCCAAUAAAUGAUUUAAAAACAUGGCGAUCGUGCU